UGACCCCUACGCUGAAUACUCUGCAGCUGC
This 30-nucleotide non-coding RNA is filed under the name Homo sapiens (human). Lineage: Eukaryota; Metazoa; Chordata; Mammalia; Primates; Hominidae. The record is from RNAcentral.